UACGUAGGGUGCGAGCGUUGUCCGGAAUUAUUGGGCGUAAAGAGCUUGUAGGCGGUUUGUCGCGUCUGCCGUGAAAAUUCGAGGCUCAACCUCGAACUUGCGGUGGGUACGGGCAGACUAGAGUGUGGUAGGGGAGACUGGAAUUCCUGGUGUAGCGGUGAAAUGCGCAGAUAUCAGGAGGAACACCGAUGGCGAAGGCAGGUCUCUGGGCCGCGACUGACGCUGAGGAGCGAAAGCGUGGGGAGCGAACAGG
Molecule: ribosomal RNA, 253 nt
Filed under: uncultured bacterium
Lineage: Bacteria
Description: partial 16S ribosomal RNA
Rfam family: Bacterial small subunit ribosomal RNA
Source: RNAcentral